Molecule: transfer RNA, 72 nt
Filed under: Planctomycetota bacterium
Lineage: Bacteria; Pseudomonadati; Planctomycetota
Also listed under: 1 other name
Description: tRNA-Gln
Rfam family: tRNA
About the family: Transfer RNA (tRNA) molecules are approximately 80 nucleotides in length. Their secondary structure includes four short double-helical elements and three loops (D, anti-codon, and T loops).
Source: RNAcentral
UGCCCGGUGGUGUAAUCGGCAACACACCAGGUUUUGAUCCUGGCGUUCCAGGUUCGAGUCCUGGCCGGGUAA